CGGCAACAGCUCAAAUUUGAAAUCUGGAGCCUUCGGCUUCCGAGUUGUAAUUUGAAGAGGAUGUUUCGGUGUCGGCCCUGGCCCAAGUUCCUUGGAACAGGACGUCAUGGAGGGUGAGAAUCCCGUAAAUGGCUGCUGGCCGGCUCCAUGUGAAACUCCUUCGA
RNAcentral lists this ribosomal RNA (164 nucleotides) under Orbiliaceae sp. Its description in RNAcentral is "partial large subunit ribosomal RNA". It matches the Rfam family "Eukaryotic large subunit ribosomal RNA", at positions 99 to 260 of the family's 3401-position model. The record is from RNAcentral. Lineage: Eukaryota; Fungi; Ascomycota; Orbiliomycetes; Orbiliales; Orbiliaceae.